UACGGAGGGUGCAAGCGUUGUCCGGAAUCACUGGGCGUAAAGGGCGCGUAGGCGGCCCGGUAAGUAGGGGGUGAAAUCCUGCGGCUUAACCGCAGGGCUGCCUUCUAAACUGUCGGGCUCGAGCACGGUAGAGGCAGAUGGAAUUCCCGGUGUAGCGGUGGAGUGCGUAGAGAUCGGGAAGAACAUCAGUGGCGAAGGCGGUCUGCUGGGCCGUUGCUGACGCUGAGGCGCGACAGCGUGGGGAGCAAACAGG
This 253-nucleotide ribosomal RNA is filed under the name uncultured bacterium. RNAcentral's name for it is "partial 16S ribosomal RNA". It matches the Rfam family "Bacterial small subunit ribosomal RNA", at positions 524 to 776 of the family's 1533-position model. The record is from RNAcentral.